CGGAAGCCUGAACCAGCCAUGCCGCGUGCGGGAAGAAGGCGCUACGCGUCGUAAACCGCUUUUGUCCGGGGGUAACCGCGGGGACGUGUCCCCGCCUGCAAGUACCGGACGAAUAAGGGUCGGCUAACUCCGUGCCAGCAGCCGCGGUAAUACGGAGGACCCGAGCGUUAUCCGGAUUCAUUGGGUUUAAAGGGUGCGUAGGUGGCCCGGUAAGUCAGCGGUGAAAGGCUCCUGCUCCACAGGAGAGCUGCCGUUGAGACUGCUGGGCUAGAAUCGUAGCGAGGCGGGCGGAAUGCGCGGUGUAGCGGUGAAA
Molecule: ribosomal RNA, 313 nt
Filed under: uncultured bacterium
Lineage: Bacteria
Description: bacterial SSU rRNA
Rfam family: Bacterial small subunit ribosomal RNA
Source: RNAcentral